RNAcentral lists this long non-coding RNA (658 nucleotides) under Coturnix japonica (Japanese quail). Its description in RNAcentral is "lncRNA (ENSCJPG00005011098.1)". The record is from RNAcentral. Lineage: Eukaryota; Metazoa; Chordata; Aves; Galliformes; Phasianidae.
AUGUCCUUCCUCUGGCUGUGGAAUGUCCAGCAGCAGAGCGUGAGUGGCCAUGAAAUGAAGCUGGGCCUCAGGAGAGCCGUCUGGAGCUGCGUCACGAGCUUCGUGCCCUACAGUAAGCGUGAACUGAAGCAGUGUUGGUUAAGCACGGCUCACUCCUCUGUCUGCAACAGAUGGGCUUUCUGCACGUUUUAUUGCUGUGGCUGACGCUGAACAGCACAGCAGCAGCGAGGCCUCAAGCAUGUCCACAACCAGCAGGCAGCCUACUUGAGAGCAGUAAAGCAGUAGGCUGUCUGCGCUAUGGCUGCUGAACUGCAUUUCUCACCACCUGAGAUCCCUGAGCCCACGAUAUUGGAGAACAUGCUGCGCUACGGACUCUUGUUUGGAGCCCUUUUCCAGCUCCUGUGUGUGCUGGCCAUCAUCCUGCCAGCUUUCAAGUCCCCAAAGGCAGUAAGUGGUGCUCUCACGGGCUGAGAGAAAGGCACGGGCAACCGGCUGGGAGGGAACCAUCUGUAGCUGUUGCCUACGGCAGUGUGUCCCAGCACUGCUGAGAGUGCCGCAGUUGGCUCUGUCCUUCCUUCCGAGUGCGAGCUGUUCCUGAUGGCACACCAGCAGCCUGGAUGUGCCAGCUCAUCCUAUCCUGCAGCUGCUGCUGCGCCCU